AUAUACAAGAUAUGCAAAACUUACCAAUAUGAAAAUCAUUUCCAAGUCCGUGAUACUUGACAAAGUGAAGAAUACCACCUUCUCUACAAUCUAGAAAUGAAUCGGGAGAAAAUUUCUUAGGAGCCUCGAUGCUCAUUGCAGCAAAAAUGCGGGAAUUAGGUUUUCGAACAGCGGAAAUUGGAAGCGGUUGGUGAGUGUCUGACUGAAGGAAAAGCGAAGAAGAGGAUCGGAAGGAAUUGAAAGAAGAACGGGAAAGGGAGCAUCGGUAAACGGUGGUGAACGAUAGCGUUAUGGCAGCGGCUAUUGCCAUUGGCAUCGGCGAAUUGAAGGAAAAAGAAGACUGAUUAAGUCAAAAGCUAUUAGGAAAUAAUUGAAACAGCUGACGUCGUUAAUUGAACACAGUUUGUUCUGGUCUUUAAAAAUUGGCUUCAUGGUUCUGGGCCACAAGAUUGUUACUGAACAUGAGUUUAAUUGUAGUAUUUAUUUUGUUUGACUACGCUGGGCGGUAGCAGGUGGUUGUGGAGAUGGAGGUGGACGUGGA
This 541-nucleotide long non-coding RNA is filed under the name Olea europaea subsp. europaea. The record is from RNAcentral. Lineage: Eukaryota; Viridiplantae; Streptophyta; Magnoliopsida; Lamiales; Oleaceae.